RNAcentral lists this ribosomal RNA (582 nucleotides) under fungal endophyte. Its description in RNAcentral is "eukaryotic LSU rRNA". The stretch from base 203 to 356 matches the Rfam family "5.8S ribosomal RNA". Lineage: Eukaryota; Fungi. The record is from RNAcentral.
AGGAUUCGUCUCGUAGUGACCUGCGGAGGGAUCAUUACACAAAUAUGAAGGCGGGCUGGAACCUCUCGGGGUUACAGCCUUGCUGAAUUAUUCACCCUUGUCUUUUGCGUACUUCUUGUUUCCUUGGUGGGUUCGCCCACCACUAGGACAAACAUAAACCUUUUGUAAUUGCAAUCAGCGUCAGUAACAAAUUAAUAAUUACAACUUUCAACAACGGAUCUCUUGGUUCUGGCAUCGAUGAAGAACGCAGCGAAAUGCGAUAAGUAGUGUGAAUUGCAGAAUUCAGUGAAUCAUCGAAUCUUUGAACGCACAUUGCGCCCUUUGGUAUUCCAAAGGGCAUGCCUGUUCGAGCGUCAUUUGUACCCUCAAGCUUUGCUUGGUGUUGGGCGUCUUGUCUCUAGCUUUGCUGGAGACUCGCCUUAAAGUAAUUGGCAGCCGGCCUACUGGUUUCGGAGCGCAGCACAAGUCGCACUCUCUAUCAGCAAAGGUCUAGCAUCCAUUAAGCCUUUUUUUCAACUUUUGACCUCGGAUCAGGUAGGGAUACCCGCUGAACUUAAGCAUAUCAAAAGCCGGGAAGGAAGA